This is a long non-coding RNA of Diabrotica virgifera virgifera (western corn rootworm), 471 nucleotides long. RefSeq lists it as uncharacterized. Lineage: Eukaryota; Metazoa; Arthropoda; Insecta; Coleoptera; Chrysomelidae. The transcript has 2 exons. The record is from RefSeq and is a predicted model, not a curated record.
AUAUUUUUCAAUAUUUAAAUGUAAAAUACGGAACAAAAAUUGUAUAUUCUUAAAUUCUAUCAAUAAAUAAUAGUGCAGUGCUGAUGCCAAUCGACUCGACCUGACUCGCUGGGGAGAACAUAUUCCCAUGCUGUAUGAAUCAAGUACCAUCUAGCCGCCGUUCUGCACCAGUGCCCAUGCCACUACAAUAAGGACCUGCAUCCGAACACCUCCACCACCAGUCUACAGAGGCUACGUGGAGCCGAAGUCCCUCCAAAACCUGAGGACGGCAACGGAGAUCCCUCGACGGACGCAAAAGAUAAGUAGCCCCCUUGCAGUCAGGUGUUAGCAAAGUGCUACUGAACAAAUUAGUUUCCUUGACAUUUUUCUUUUUGUUAAUACAUAAUCUUCAAUUUUCUUUCUUCGGUAUUUGAAAUAGCAAUAAUGUGUAUCUGACUGAUUUCCCUAGAAAUAAUAAAUGAAUAUGUAAAA